UUAAGCUAUAAAGAGCACAGGGUGGAUGCCUAGGCACUGAGAGCCGAUGAAGGACGUGAUAAGCUGCGAAAAGCCACGGGGAGGAGCAAAUAUCCUUUGAGCCGUGGAUAUCCGAAUGGGGGAACCCACUUAAGUAAACCUUAAGUACUGACAAGCCAAUACAUAACUUGCCAGAGGGAACCCGGGGAACUGAAACAUCUAAGUACCCGGAGGAAGAGAAAGAAACAUCGAUUUCCUUAGUAGCGGCGAGCGAAAGGGAAAGAGCCCAAACCGAGAGAUUUAUCUUUCGGGGUUAGGACUGCAUAAUUGAUCUGCGAUUGAUAGGAGAAUGGUCUGGGAAGUCCAGCAGGAAAGCGUGAAAGCCGCGUAUCCGAAAUUGAAAGCAGCAAGGCAGUAUCCAGAGUACCACGAGACACGAGGAACCUUGUGGGAAUGAGCGGAGACCACUCCGUAAGGCUAAAUACUACUCAGUGACCGAUAGCGCAUAGUACUGUGAAGGAAAGGUGAAAAGGACCCCGGGAGGGGAGUGAAAGAGAACCUGAAACCCUGUGUCUACAAGCUGUGGAAGUGCUUUAUAUGCACGACCGCGUACUUUUUGUAGAACGGUCCGGCGAGUUACGCUUACUGGCAAGGUUAAGCACUUCAGGUGUGGAGCCGUAGGGAAACCAAGUCUUAAGAGGGCCAGAGUCAGUAGGAGUAGACCCGAAACCGGGUGAUCUAUCCAUGUCCAGGUUGAAGCUGCCGUAAGAGGUAGUGGAGGACCGAACCCACAUCCGUUGAAAAGGGUGGGGAUGAGGUGUGGAUAGGGGAGAAAUUCCAAUCGAACCCGGAGAUAGCUGGUUCUCCUCGAAAUAGCUUUAGGGCUAGCCUCUGGUUAGUCUGCCGCAGGUAGAGCACUGAAUUUCCUAGGGGGCGUCAAAGCCUACCGAAGAAUAUCAAACUGCGAAUGGCGGACAGAUGAUGCCAGGGAGUCAGACUGCACGAGAUAAGUUGGGUGGUCAAAAGGGAAAGAGCCCAGACCUACAGCUAAGGUCCCAAAGUGUGUGUUAAGUGGAAAAGGAUGUGGGAUUUCGAAGACAACUAGGAUGUUGGCUCAGAAGCAGCCACACAUUAAAAGAGUGCGUAAUAGCUCACUAGUCGAGAGGUCCUGCGCCGAAAAUGUCCGGGGCUAAAACACAACACCGAAGCUUAGGAAUUCUAAUGAAUUGGUAGAGGAGCAUUGAAGACGGAACGAAGCCAUACCGAAAGGAAUGGUGGACUGUCUUGAAGAGAGAAUGCCGGAAUGAGUAGCGAGAUUGAAGUGAGAAUCUUCAAGGCCGAAUAUCUAAGGUUUCCAGGGUAAAGCUGAUCUGCCCUGGGUAAGUCGGGGCCUAAGGCAAGGUCGAAAGACGUAGUCGAUGGAUAACAGGUUGAAAUUCCUGUACUGCAUCAAAUCAGAAAUGUGGGGACACAUGAGGGAAGCAUGAGCCGGAAAAGGAAAGUCCGGUACAAGCGCAGCAGAGGACAGAUAGGCAAAACCGUCUGUCAACUCGAGGGCGUGAUGUGGAGCGAACCAAAGUAGCGAAGCAUGUGGAGCUUGUGUCGAGAAAAGCCGCUAUUGUGUUUGAUGUACCCGUACCGUAAACCGACACAGGUGGAUGAGGAGAGAAUCCUAAGGCCGGCGGGAGAAGCAUUGUUAAGGAACUCGGCAAAAUGACCCCGUAACUUCGGGAGAAGGGGUGCUCCAGAGAUGGAGCCGCAGAGAACUGGCCCAAGCAACUGUUUAGCAAAAACACAGGUCUAUGCAAAACCGAAAGGUGAGGUAUAUGGGCUGACGCCUGCCCGGUGCUGGAAGGUUAAGAGGAGAUGUUAAUCGCAAGGUGAAGCAUUGAAUUUAAGCCCCAGUAAACGGCGGCCGUAACUAUAACGGUCCUAAGGUAGCGAAAUUCCUUGUCGGGUAAGUUCCGACCCGCACGAAAGGCGUAAUGAUUUGAGCGCUGUCUCGACAAUGCAUCCGGUGAAAUUGAAGUACCAGUGAAGAUGCUGGUUACCUGCGCCAGGACGGAAAGACCCCAUGGAGCUUUACUCUAGUUUGAUACUGGGAUUCGGUAAUGCAUGUACAGGAUAGGUGGGAGGCUGAGAAAGGAGAACGCCAGUUUUCCUGGAGCCGAUGUUGGGAUACCACCCUUGCGUUACUGGGUUUCUAACCUGCAGCCGUGACCCGGCUGGGGGACAAUGUCAGACGGUUAUUUAUGAAAAGAGUUUAUACUUUUGGCAACGGUAAAGCAGAAGGCCGUGCCGACAUGAAAAACCUGCUGGGCGGUAAAGGAGCCAACUUGGCGGAAAUGAACUUAAUUGGAGUUCCUGUUCCCCCCGGAUUCACAAUCACUACCGAAGUUUGUACCACAUACACUCAGCAAGGGAAGGAAGCUGUUGUAAAAGAAAUCAAAGGCGAUGUAGAAAAGGCUAUCGCUCAUAUCGAAAGCCUCACGGGCACGAAAUUCGGAGAUGCCUCGAAUCCGCUAUUGGUAUCGGUUCGUUCGGGAGCUCGUGUUUCCAUGCCCGGUAUGAUGGACACGGUUCUCAACUUGGGCCUCAACGACGACUCCGUUCAGUGGCUCAUCGCUCAGACGCAAAAUCCGCGUUUUGCCUGGGAUAGCUACCGCCGCUUUAUCCAGAUGUUCUCCAACGUCGUUAUGGGUGUUGAUGCCGACCUGUUUGAGAACGCCCUGACCCAGGCCCGCCUGGUCGCCGGUGUUCGCGUCGAUUCUGAGCUUUCGGCCGAGGACCUUCAGGAGCUUGUCGAG
Molecule: ribosomal RNA, 2786 nt
Filed under: human gut metagenome
Description: bacterial LSU rRNA
Rfam family: Bacterial large subunit ribosomal RNA (bases 1-2385)
Source: RNAcentral